Molecule: long non-coding RNA, 1645 nt
Filed under: Mus musculus (house mouse)
Lineage: Eukaryota; Metazoa; Chordata; Mammalia; Rodentia; Muridae
Description: long non-coding RNA chr11:94521242-94522887
Source: RNAcentral
GCCUUCAUGGUGCCGUCCGGGGUUACCUGCCUUGGCCCUGUGCUCCCCGCCCCUAAGAUGACUGCGCAGCGCGGCAGCCCCCGCCGCGAUCCCGCCCUCAAGCGGCCGCCGUAGCGUCCAUAGCAACCAGCGCCACGCGCAGGGGGCGCGCACCCACCGAGCAACUUGAGCGGGGACUGCCUUUCAGUAAUCUUCUUCAUCAUGACGCGCUCCUGCACCGCAAGCGGCUCCUUAGGCUUGUUCGCAGACCCCGAGAAUGCCCCGGUCAGACUCUUGACGUCACAGGAGGCGCUAAAGAGCGCCAAGGCGUCAUCGACUGGGCCUGACAAAGGGUUGCUGUAGGAACUGGCCGAAGCUGAGUGACUGGAAUGGGGACAGUAGCAACCUCGGCCGCCAUAGGAUCUCCCACCUAGACUCCCCAGAUGUUUCUGCUCUGGGUCACCGCUUGCUGACCAGUCUUCAGGCUUCCGGCACGCUCAUCUCACACCAGGCUGACCAUGCAUUGACUACUUUUCCUAGUUUAAGUGCCCCAGACUCCGCCUCCACCGGCCUGUCAUCUGCCCUGCCCACUAAUCAGCCAUCACUUCCUAGGCCAGUCAGACUUUUACCAGAUUUGGGGUCUUUGCAUAGACAUGCUGCCUUUGGUUCUCGUGAAGAUGUACUUUCCCGUUACCUCACAUUUCUAAGUGUAUCCACGUCAUUCCUUCCUUCCUUUAUUCAUUUUUACCCAGAGCUCUAAAGCAUUCAGAAAUUAUCAGGUUUGUUUCUGAGGUUGGAUCCCUCUCCAGGACUACUACAAACUCCUCUCGACCUCGCUCCCUGUGACUGGACACAUGCUCCAAGGGCAGCCUCCCUUCUCAGUCACACUCACAGCAUCUCUGGUUCAGUUCACUUCAGGGACACUUGGGGCGGCAUUUAGGACACUCCAGGGAGAUGCUCUGUCACCUGUGUCCUCCAAGGGACAGGUUAUGAAAAUGAGGUAUGGGGGGUUAGGGAGUGCGCGUUGGAGCUACUGUUUCUUUGAGAAAUGUGGUGUGCAUGAAUGACAGACUGAGUUGUGGAGAAGGAAAGAGCUUCUAGCAGCAAAACGGCAGGCUACGUGACAACCUCCCCGAGGAGGGCUCAUGGUUUUUGUUUUUCUCCUUUUCUUUUUAAAGAUAUUUCUUUUAACCCAUGUUAUCCUCAGACUUUACUACUACAGCUAAGGCAGGGGUUAAUCCAGAUCCUUCUAUCUAACUCCCAACAGUGAGCCUACAGAUGUGCUGCAUCUCCAAGCAUGGGUAAAUGAAACUUUGUUUGGUUCUGUUUUCCAACACUGGAAAUUGAACUCAGGGCCUUGUACACACUAGGCAAGUGUUCUGUCAUUGAGCUAGUCCCUAGCUGGUAUGGUUUGUCAAGGGAAGGUAUGUAGGUACCAGGCAGGUAGUCACUUCAAUUGUGCAAUGCUUAAAAACAAAAAUAGCCCUUCCGGAAUGUGGUGGGUUCUACAUCUUAUCUCUUGCUCAGGGUGGUGAGAGCAGUAGACUAGUGUGGAUCUAAAGAAGACCUCCCACUUGGGAGAUAAAGGCAAGAGGAUUAGAAGUUCAAGGUCAUCCGGUGCUACACAGAGGAUUUUAGACCAGUGUGGGCUAUAUAAAACCAUGUC